GCUGGGUGCGGUGGCUCACACCUGUAAUCCCAGCACUUUGGGAGGCUGAGAUGGGUGGAUCGCCAGAGGUCAGGAGUUUGAGACCAGCUUGACCAACAUGGUGAAACCCCAUCUCUA
This is a non-coding RNA of Callithrix jacchus (white-tufted-ear marmoset), 117 nucleotides long. Lineage: Eukaryota; Metazoa; Chordata; Mammalia; Primates; Cebidae. The record is from Rfam.